AACGUAGGUACCGAGCGUUAUCCGGAUUUACUGGGCGUAAAGCGCGUUCAGGCGGUUUGGCAAGUCGGGCAUGAAAUCUCUCGGCUCAACCGGGAGAGGUUGUCCGAUACUUCCAGACUUGAGGGCAGUAGAGGGUGGUGGAAUUCCGGGUGUAGUGGUGAAAUGCGUAGAUAUCCGGAGGAACACCAGUGGCGAAGGCGGCAUCCUGGACCGGCAUUGACGCUGAGGCGCGAAAGCCAGGGGAGCAAACGGG
RNAcentral lists this ribosomal RNA (253 nucleotides) under uncultured bacterium. RNAcentral describes it as "partial 16S ribosomal RNA". It matches the Rfam family "Bacterial small subunit ribosomal RNA", at positions 524 to 776 of the family's 1533-position model. The record is from RNAcentral.